Molecule: ribosomal RNA, 420 nt
Filed under: bacterium
Lineage: Bacteria
Description: partial 16S ribosomal RNA
Rfam family: Bacterial small subunit ribosomal RNA
Source: RNAcentral
UGGGGGAUAUUGCACAAUGGGCGAAAGCCUGAUGCAGCGACGCCGCGUGGGGGAUGAAGGCUUUCGGGUUGUAAACCUCUUUCGCUAUCGAACAAGACCCGCUUAGGGUGGGUUGAGGGUAGGUGGAGAAGAAGCGCCGGCUAACUACGUGCCAGCAGCCGCGGUAAUACGUAGGGCGCGAGCGUUGUCCGGAAUUAUUGGGCGUAAAGGGCUUGUAGGCGGCGUGUUGCGCCUGCUGUGAAAACGCGGGGCUUAACUUCGCGCGUGCAGUGGGUACGGGCAGGCUUGAGUGUGGUAGUGGUGACUGGAGUUCCAGGUGUGGCGGUGGGAUGCGCAGAUAUCUGGAGGAACACCGAUGGCGAAGGCAGGUCACUGGGCCAUUACUGACGCUGAGGAGCGAAAGCAUGGGUAGCGAACAGG